AUUUAUAUAGUUUAAUAAAACAUUACAUUUUCAUUGUAAAAAUAAAAAAAUUUUUUUUUAUAAAUU
RNAcentral lists this transfer RNA (66 nucleotides) under Syrphus torvus. RNAcentral describes it as "tRNA-Glu". Lineage: Eukaryota; Metazoa; Arthropoda; Insecta; Diptera; Syrphidae. The record is from RNAcentral. RNAcentral also lists the same sequence under 1 other name.